AAAAGUGAAAGACGGUCUUGCUGUCACUUAUAGAUGGAUCCGCGCUGCAUUAGCUAGUUGGUAAGGUAACGGCUUACCAAGGCAACGAUGCAUAGCCGACCUGAGAGGGUGAUCGGCCACACUGGAACUGAGACACGGUCCAGACUCCUACGGGAGGCAGCAGUAGGGAAUCUUCCGCAAUGGGCGAAAGCCUGACGGAGCAACGCCGCGUGAGUGAUGAAGGUCUUCGGAUCGUAAAACUCUGUUAUUAGGGAAGAACAUAUGUGUAAGUAACUGUGCACAUCUUGACGGUACCUAAUCAGAAAGCCACGGCUAACUACGUGCCAGCAGCCGCGGUAAUACGUAGGUGGCAAGCGUUAUCCGGAAUUAUUGGGCGUAAAGCGCGCGUAGGCGGUUUUUUAAGUCUGAUGUGAAAGCCCACGGCUCAACCGUGGAGGGUCAUUGGAAACUGGAAAACUUGAGUGCAGAAGAGGAAAGUGGAAUUCCAUGUGUAGCGGUGAAAUGCGCAGAGAUAUGGAGGAACACCAGUGGCGAAGGCGACUUUCUGGUCUGUAACUGACGCUGAUGUGCGAAAGCGUGGGGAUCAAACAGGAUUAGAUACCCUGGUAGUCCACGCCGUAAACGAUGAGUGCUAAGUGUUAGGGGGUUUCCGCCCCUUAGUGCUGCAGCUAACGCAUUAAGCACUCCGCCUGGGGAGUACGACCGCAAGGUUGAAACUC
RNAcentral lists this ribosomal RNA (719 nucleotides) under Staphylococcus aureus. RNAcentral describes it as "bacterial SSU rRNA". It matches the Rfam family "Bacterial small subunit ribosomal RNA", at positions 196 to 902 of the family's 1533-position model. Lineage: Bacteria; Bacillati; Bacillota; Bacilli; Caryophanales; Staphylococcaceae. The record is from RNAcentral.